Ictalurus punctatus (channel catfish) is the source of this 414-nucleotide long non-coding RNA. The record is from Ensembl. NCBI's taxonomy places the organism in Eukaryota, Metazoa, Chordata, Actinopteri, Siluriformes, Ictaluridae.
AUUUAAUUGGCCAGUUAGUGUAUUUUUUUUCCCUUCUUCCUAAACUGGUGCUCCCAUCUCAUUACUGUAAACAAAACUACACCUCAGCUUUCUGGUCAUACGAGUUUCGGUUGGUUGUCGUAUUCUACAGAUGAAUGGUAAGAAUGUUAGAAGGUUAGAGCGCUGCAGCAGUCAUUCACUUCAUUUAAGAGUUUUAAUAUCAGAAUUAUAACUAUCAUAUGUGUUAUGCAAUAUGUCAGCAACUCUCCAGUGAAACUCCGAAUCUGGAUUGAUCUGAAGGACUGUGAAUUGCGCUCGCUUCUGAGUCCCGUCCCUGAAAAGCAGCAUGUCCAGCGACCCCCCUCCGCCCUACCCAGGGGGCCCCAGCGCUCCUCUUAUAGAGGAAAAGAAUGGACAGCCUCCAGUCUCUGGUAU